CUAAUCCUCCUUCUCCUCCUAAGCUUCUUCCACUUCUCUUCUCAUAUAAUCUCUUCAUUUCAAUAAAAACCAAAACUACUACUUGUCUCUUUGCCUCACUGCCAAAAUCACCACUACCUUAAGCUUAGUGUGAAACCAAAUCACUUUUAUUCAUUCAUAUACAUCGAGAGAGAGAGAGAGAGAGAGAGAGAGAGAGAGAGAGAGAGAGAGAGAGAGAGAGAGAGAGAAGAAGAAGAAGAAUACUAUAUAUUCAGCAAACUUUUCCCUUUUCUUUUCCCCUUUCUUUUCACCGGGAUUUCAGAUACCAUUUUCCUCAAUAUCAACUAUCAAGUAUCAACUCUAUUACUGCACUUGACUUCUUUGAUUAUCAAGCAUUUUGAUUAUUAUUAUUAGUUUUUUCUCCGGUUUUUUUGUUGUAGUGCGGCAGUGAUUACAGCAUAUUUGAUGAGAACGAAAAAUCUCUCUCUCGAAGAUUUCCUUGAAUCAUUAAGGAAGAGCUAUGAAUUUGUUUGUCCCAAUGAUGGCUUUCUUGAGCAGUUGAGAAUGUUCGAGGAGAUGGGCUUCAAGGUUGAUCACUCCAGUCCUAUAUAUAAGCGCUUUCAUCUG
This is a non-coding RNA of Arachis ipaensis, 606 nucleotides long. The record is from RefSeq and is a predicted model, not a curated record. NCBI's taxonomy places the organism in Eukaryota, Viridiplantae, Streptophyta, Magnoliopsida, Fabales, Fabaceae.